GAAAAUAUGAAAUAGUUUUGUAUUUGUUCGCAAUUUAAAUAGCUUAUCAUUUACGACUAAUUAAUACUUGACAGGAUCGUAAAAAUGAUUAGGUAGGUCGGUAGGUUUUUUUUUUUUAUUCUAUUUUCAAACGUCAACGAUAAGACGUUACUAAAGGAAGAAGAAGAAACAAGAAAGAAGAAAAAAGAAAGAAAGAAGAAUUCCUUGACAAAUUCUUCCUAUUUUGGCGCCAUUACUCUCGGAAUCUAAUCCCAUUGAUAGUUUAAAUAUAGACGCUUGGAUCUAACAUAAGAACGAAUAGGAUGGGAGAAAAGCGUGCCGGCUCUUGAUGAUUCCCAGUUUAUUUUCUCGGGUUAUCGUUGCUCAACCGCGUUUGCUCUCUCCCCCUUAUCACUUGUCAUAACGGCACCAACGAAUUAUUACUUCAAAUUCUUUGCGUUCGACGCGACCCGGAUAUAUGAUCUUAACGCCUUCUUCCAUGGAUAAGAUAAUGUCUUGUAUUCUCGUCUAUCAAUUUUUCAAGGCAGAAAAAGAGAGAAAGAGAGAGAGAGAGAGAGAGAGAGAGAGAGAGAGAGAGAGGAGCCAUAAGAGGAAAGGGAUCGUUAAUUUUGUUUUCGUAAUGAGAUCGCCGACACAUUGUUUGUUCACCACUGAUAUCUCGAUAAAGAGUUCCCUUAAGAUAUUCAAGAGGAUAAAUUAUUUUAAUUAGACCAAAAACGAUCAAUUAAAUUGAAUACAAUGUGUGUCUUUAUUAUUCCUGCAAAUAUUCAAGAAGAUUUAUUAUUAUGUCUGGUUCUAAAAUUGACGAAGGAUAAUAAUCAUGGCUGAUGAUUCAGAAGAAGAUUGGUAUUAUUUUUGAAAAAGUAUCAGACUAAAAUUAAAAUCAUACGUAAUCGUGUUGAAUUUUUUAACACGGUAUUUAUGGGAUAGUGGUGUACGAAUAGUAUAAAAUACGUGGGCGUGAUUUUGCCAUGAGCAACGUUCAUUUUCUUGUGGUUUAUUUCUUCUUUUGGUUUGUGUGUCUCUUUGAAGACGUCAUGGUUGCGUAACACUUCAAACAGAGGAUGAGUACUACACGCAAAAACGUUAAGAACAUUUUGUUAUAGGUGGUGAAUUAUUGGUGGUAAUGAAAAAGAAGGUCAAUGGCUAAUACCUAAUGUGUUAAACUUGGCAAAGGAAAUUUAUUUAUUCAUCAUUGGGACAUCGAUAUCGACGUCAAGUAAAUUGCAAUUCUUAAUCAAAUAUGCAAAUUUCACUGUUUAUCGCUUAAUAAUGAUGAUAAACUUGAAUAGACCAAAACACAUGUUUCAAUUUUCGUUUAACUUUAUUUACUAAAAUAAGAUACUACAGAUAAGAUAA
This is a long non-coding RNA of Polistes dominula (European paper wasp), 1359 nucleotides long. The record is from RefSeq and is a predicted model, not a curated record. Lineage: Eukaryota; Metazoa; Arthropoda; Insecta; Hymenoptera; Vespidae.